CCCUACACACUUCUAAGGAAGCUUGGAUCUU
Molecule: non-coding RNA, 31 nt
Filed under: Rattus norvegicus (Norway rat)
Lineage: Eukaryota; Metazoa; Chordata; Mammalia; Rodentia; Muridae
Source: RNAcentral